Molecule: ribosomal RNA, 301 nt
Filed under: uncultured bacterium
Lineage: Bacteria
Description: partial 16S ribosomal RNA
Rfam family: Bacterial small subunit ribosomal RNA
Source: RNAcentral
CAGUAGCCACGGGAAAACGGAGGGGGCUAGCGUUGUUCGGAAUUACUGGGCGUAAAGCGCACGUAGGCGGCUUGGUAAGUUAGAGGUGAAAGCCUGGAGCUCAACUCCAGAAUUGCCUUUAAGACUGCCGAGCUAGCAGGUGAGAGAGGUAAGUGGAAUUCCGAGUGUAGAGGUGAAAUUCGUAGAUAUUCGGAAGAACACCAGUGGCGAAGGCGGCUUACUGGCUCAUACUGGACGCUGAGGUGCGAAAGCGUUGGGAGCAAACAGGAUUAGAUACCCGCGUAGUCCCUGUCUCUUAUAC